AUGUCACCACAGACUCGCUCUUUCUAUCAUCCUUGUAGUCAUCAGAGUUCCUCUUAACUUGGAGGCAGGUCGUUUUGCUCUCCUUAGCUUUGCUGCUUGUUUCUCCAUCCUCCAGGCUCUCCUUGGCAGCUGUAGCAUCCUGAUCAGAAAUGCACGAGGUUUCUGAUUUGUCAGAGAGCAGCUUGUUCGAGGAGUCAGCUGCGCUUGAAUCCUCUGAGUUAGCUGAUGCUCGCUGAGUUGCGAUCAGAUAGUGCGCCACAGAUUUGUACCCAAGUCUGACAGCCUGCAAAAUGGAAAACAACCAUGUUCUCAGAACCACUGUAUCCAUUCAUAUAUGCAUACUAGCAACAUGAGAUCUAGUUCAUCAUUUAGCUUCUUCCUAUUAUUUUUAUCAGUCAUCAUGAUCCAAACAUGUGGGGCUAUGCUAGAGUCGAAACCUAACAAUAGCCACAUGAUCACCAAAGAGAGAUAAUAUUAUACAAUAUAGUAUAAAUUAACUGCAAUGAAUGCAUGAAGUUACUUCAGCUUCUAAUAAAAGUAUGGGAUGUCCAAGUGUAAAAUGUGUAUUUAU
This 571-nucleotide long non-coding RNA is filed under the name Setaria viridis. RNAcentral's name for it is "long non-coding RNA (SVIR_LNC009765)". The record is from RNAcentral. Lineage: Eukaryota; Viridiplantae; Streptophyta; Magnoliopsida; Poales; Poaceae.